This 2149-nucleotide long non-coding RNA is filed under the name Mytilus galloprovincialis (Mediterranean mussel). The record is from RNAcentral. Lineage: Eukaryota; Metazoa; Mollusca; Bivalvia; Mytilida; Mytilidae.
AAGAACCCCAAUUAUUCAAUUUUUGAUGAAAUCAAACAAAGUUUAAUUUUGGACCCUUUGGGCCCCUUAUUCCUAAACUGUUGAGACCAAAACUCCCAAAAUCAAUCCCAACCUUCCUUUUAUGGUCAUAACCCUUGUGUUUAAAUUUCAUAGAUUUCUAUUUACUUAUACUAAAGUUAUGGUGUGAAAACCAAGAAAAAUGCUUAUUUGGGCCCCUUUUUGGCCCCUUAUUCCUAAACUGUUGGGAUCUCAACUCCCAAAUCAUUCCCAACCUUUCUUUUGUGUUCAUAAAUCUUGUGUUUAAAUUUCAUUGAUUUCUAUUUACUUAUGCUAAAGUUAUUGUGCGAAAACCAAGAAUAAUGCUUAUUUGGGUCCUUUUUUGGCCCCUAAUUCCUCAACAGUUGGAACCAAAACUCCAAAAAUAAUUCCCAACCUUUCUUUUGUGUUCAUAAACCUUGUGUCAAAAUUUCAUAGAUUUCUAUUUACUAAAAACUAAAGUUAUAGUGCGAAAACCAAGAAAAUGCUUAUUUGGUCCCUUUUUGGCCCCUAAUUCCUAAACUAUUGGGACCAAAACUUACAAAAUCAAUCCCAACCUUCCUUUUGUGGUCAUAAACCUUGUGUUUAAAUUUCAUAGAUUUCUAUUUACUUAAACUAAAGUUAUAGUGCGAAAACCAAAGUUAUUCGGACGACGACGCUGACGACAACGUGAUACCAAUAUACGACCAAAAAAUUUUCAAUUUUUGCGGUCGUAUAAAAAUAACUUCUUUCUAUAACAUAUUUGUAAAGAAUAUAUAUUUUAAUUGAAAAGAAAAAGCUCAAUAUGAGACAUGAAAAUGUUUUCACCCACUUCCUAUAAAUAAACCCAUUAAAAGAUUUACUCAAUACUUAAUUUAAACCAUGGAAAACAUUACUUCUGAAACUAAUGACACAGCCAAUAGUCACUUAUAAAUCUAACAGUAACAUAUAAAUUCUGCAGGGGCCUCAGUGGCUGAGUGGUCUAAGGUGUUACUACUAUAAUCACUAGCCAGUCCACACUUAGGUUGUGAGUUCGAACCCUGCUCGUGUGGCUGCACUCGACUUCAAUCUUAAUUGACUAGGAUUGUCAGUUUUCCUAUCGACAGGGGUUCAAAUUAACAUUUGGUACUGGAAGGUCCAGGACCUUUGACACUCAAAACUGAAAGGUCCACAACCUAAAUUGCAGGUCCUACUUUUACUUGAAAUAUUUUAUAACACAGUAAGAUACAAAAUUAUUGUGCCUUUGGUGUUAGGUUAUCUUGUUACAUUGUCAGUGUCACUGUUGUAUAAUAUGUUCAAUAAACUAAUAAAUAUAAUUGUCUUGUAUAUUAUGAAUUCAUAUUAUCUUUAUUUUUUUUUAUUUGUUAGGGUGUCACUGUUGGUAGGUGUGUUUGUGGGGGGGGGGAGGGAUUCAAUUUUCUCAUUUAGAUUUCAUAAAUAAAAAGAAAUUUCUUCAAACAUUUUUUUGAGAGGAGUAAUAUUCAACAGCAUAGUGAAUUGCUCAAAGGCAAAAAACAAAUUUUAAGUUUAUCAGACCACAUUCAUUCUGUGUCAGAAACCUAUGCUGUGUCAACUAUUUAAUCACAAUCCAAAUUUAGAGCUGAAUCCAGCUUGAAUGUUGUGUCCAUACUUGCCCCAACCGUUCAGGGUUCAACCUCUGUGGUCGUAUAAAGCUGUGCCCUGCGGAGCAUCUGGUUUUAUUCAGUUACAAUGAUGUAUGUGUUUAUUAUAUUUAUUUAAGUUUAUUAGAAUAAAAUGUACACAAUAUUUAACAUUUUAAUUCAAUGCCAGGAAAUGUUAUUUAUUUGCUUGAUUAUGGCCAGUGGCAAGUAUUUCAUACAUAUCCAGAAUGGGAACUGAGUAACAAUUACUUCAAUUGAUUUUCUGCAAGUUGUUCUACUUUGACAAAGGCACGUAAUUAGGAUAGGUUCAGAAAUUGUGCUAUUCAACAACCUUAGUUCCCUCAAAGAGUUGUUACAAAGAUUAACAUGCAGAGAAACCGGUGACAGUUUCACAAAAAUACUCAAAUCUAGAAUUGAUUGUAAGUAUAAUUACGGUUUAUCUUAGUCGUAAGUUUAUUUGUGAAAGGGAAUACUGGCUUUUUUCCUUUACAUGCAUAUUAGGAAACUGAGAG